This 394-nucleotide ribosomal RNA is filed under the name uncultured bacterium. RNAcentral describes it as "bacterial SSU rRNA". It matches the Rfam family "Bacterial small subunit ribosomal RNA", at positions 335 to 719 of the family's 1533-position model. The record is from RNAcentral.
ACUCCUACGGGAGGCAGCAGUGGGGAAUAUUGCACAAUGGGGGAAACCCUGAUGCAGCCAUGCCGCGUGUGUGAAGAAGGCCUUCGGGUUGUAAAGCACUUUCAGUAGGGAGGAAGGUAGUGUAGUUAACACCUGCAUUAUUUGUACGUUACCUACAGAAGAAGCACCGGCUAACUCCGUGCCAGCAGCCGCGGUAAUACGGAGGGUGCGAGCGUUAAUACGGAAUUACGUGGGCGUAAAGCGCAUGCAGGCGGCCUGUUAAGUCAGAUGUGAAAGCCCGGGGUCUUAACCUCGGAAUUGCAUUUGAAACUGGCAGGCUAGAGUCUUGUAGAGGGGUUAGAAUUUCAGGUGUAGCGGUGAAAUGCGUAGAGAUCUGAAGGAUACCAGUGGCGAA